UACGUGAACUCUAAGGUCGGCCA
This 23-nucleotide non-coding RNA is filed under the name Arabidopsis thaliana (thale cress). Lineage: Eukaryota; Viridiplantae; Streptophyta; Magnoliopsida; Brassicales; Brassicaceae. The record is from RNAcentral.